Molecule: ribosomal RNA, 253 nt
Filed under: uncultured prokaryote
Description: partial 16S ribosomal RNA
Rfam family: Bacterial small subunit ribosomal RNA
Source: RNAcentral
ACGUAGGUGACGAGCGUUGUCCGGAUUUACUGGGCGUAAAGAGCGCGCAGGCGGUCGUUCAAGUCGAGUGUGAAAGCCCCCGGCUCAACUGGGGAGGGUCACUCGAUACUGAUCGACUCGAAGGCAGGAGAGGGAAGUGGAAUUCCCGGUGUAGCAGUGAAAUGCGUAGAGAUCGGGAGGAACACCAGUGGCGAAGGCGGCUACCUGGACCAGCACUGACACUGAGGCACGAAAGCGUGGGGAGCAAACAGGA